RNAcentral lists this long non-coding RNA (448 nucleotides) under Heterocephalus glaber (naked mole-rat). Its description in RNAcentral is "lncRNA (ENSHGLG00000035568.1)". Lineage: Eukaryota; Metazoa; Chordata; Mammalia; Rodentia; Bathyergidae. The record is from RNAcentral.
GUCCUUCCCACAGCCAGGACCCCAGCCCUCUCCUCCAUCCAGCCCUGGGAGACCUUCUACCUGGGAGCCUUCUAGGGCGCAGGUUCCAGCAGAGACUGGAUAUUGGCGUGCCAAGCAGAGGUCCCCAUGCCUCCUGAAGAGGAGAGGCCAGGGAGUCCUGUUGAAGCCUGUGGGUCUCCCCACCCGAGUUCUGGGGGAAUCCAUGCACUCUGUGGCCAUCGCAUCGACACCACACCUUGGGGCCAUGAGCCUACAGCCGGGAAUGGCAGCUGUGACUGUGCUUCCCCCACAUCCACUGACGCUGGUGACGCCUGCUGUGGCUGGGGCAUGGGCAGAGUGGGAGACGUGGGGCCCCUGCAGUGUCUCCUGUGGAGAUGGGCACUAGAGUCACCCAAGGAGCUAUGUGGACCCCCAACCCAAGAAUAAUGGUGCCCCCUGCCCUGGGGCC